Long non-coding RNA from Ornithorhynchus anatinus (platypus), 245 nucleotides. RefSeq lists it as uncharacterized. The transcript has 2 exons. NCBI's taxonomy places the organism in Eukaryota, Metazoa, Chordata, Mammalia, Monotremata, Ornithorhynchidae. The record is from RefSeq and is a predicted model, not a curated record.
UUCACUGCUACAAUAGGGAGAGCAGCAACAAGAAUGAAGAUGAAAGAAGAGACGUGGAAGCCCGGAACAGAGCCUAUGUGAGAUACAGCAAGAGACUGAUUUCCAAGGACUGCAUUACUUAACCAAAAAAAAUAUAUAUAUAAAUUAGCCAAAGCAUUGUGUGGAUUUUGUAAUCCCCAAAACUGUUCUAUUGUUGCAAAGCCAAUACAUUAAACAGGCUAUUGGUAAAAAACUUUUCAAAAAUA